AUUGAACGCUGGCGGCAGGCCUAACACAUGCAAGUCGAACGGUAACAGGUUAAACUUUGCUUUUUUGCUGACGAGUGGCGGAUGGGUGAGCAAUGUCUGGGAAACGGCCUGACGGAGGGGGAUAACUACUAGAAACGGAUGCUAACACCGCAUAACGUCGCAAGAUCAAAGAAGGGGACCUUCGGGCCUCUUGCCAUCGGAUGUGCCCAGAUGGGAUUAGCUAGUUGGUGGGGUAACGGCUCACCUAGGCGACGAUCCCUAGCUGGUCUGAGAGGAUGACCAGCCACACUGGAACUGAGACACGGUCCAGACUCCUACGGGAGGCAGCAGUGGGGAAUAUUGGACAAUGGGCGCAAGCCUGAUGCAGCCAUGCCGCGUGUGUGAAGAAGGCCUUCGGGUUGUAAAGUGCUUUUGGCAGGGAAGAAAAGGGUAUGGUUAAUACCUGUGCUCAUUGACGUUACCCGAAGAAGAAGCACCGGCUAACUACGUG
RNAcentral lists this ribosomal RNA (490 nucleotides) under uncultured bacterium. Its description in RNAcentral is "partial 16S ribosomal RNA". It matches the Rfam family "Bacterial small subunit ribosomal RNA", at positions 30 to 507 of the family's 1533-position model. The record is from RNAcentral.